UACGGGGGGGGCAAGCGUUGUUCGGAAUUACUGGGCGUAAAGCGCACGUAGGCGGGUUGUUAAGUCAGGGGUGAAAUCCCGGAGCUCAACUCCGGAACUGCCUUUGAUACUGGCAACCUAGAGGCUGGAAGAGGUGAGUGGAAUUCCCAGUGUAGAGGUGAAAUUCGUAGAUAUUGGGAAGAACACCAGUGGCGAAGGCGGCUCACUGGUCCAGUACUGACGCUGAGGUGCGAAAGCGUGGGGAUCAAAC
RNAcentral lists this ribosomal RNA (250 nucleotides) under uncultured bacterium. RNAcentral describes it as "partial 16S ribosomal RNA". It matches the Rfam family "Bacterial small subunit ribosomal RNA", at positions 524 to 773 of the family's 1533-position model. The record is from RNAcentral.